AGAGUUUGAUCAUGGCUCAGAGUGAACGCUGGCGGCGUGCCUAACACAUGCAAGUCGAGCGGAGUAUUUGCUGUAGCAAUACAGUAAAUGCUCAGCGGCAGACGGGUGAGUAACACGUAGAUAACUUACCUCUUAGCGGGGGAUAGCCCGCCGAAAGGCGGGGUAAUACCGCGUACGAUCCGGCCCUGGCAUCGGGGCUUGAUGAAACAUCCGCAAGGAUGGCUGAGAGAAAGAUCUGCGGCCUAUCAGCUAGUUGGCGGGGUAACGGCCCACCAAGGCUACGACGGGUAUCCGACCUGAAAGGGUGACCGGACACACUGACACUGAGACACGGGUCAGACUCCUACGGGAGGCAGCAGUGAGGAAUUUUGGACAAUGGGGGAAACCCUGAUCCAGCGACGCCGCGUGAAGGAUGAAGGUCUUCGGAUUGUAAACUUCUUUUGUUUGGGACUAAGAAAUCUGUGGAAACACGGAGAGUGAAGGUACCAGACGAAUAAGCCACGGCUAACUUCGUGCCAGCAGCCGCGGUAAUACGAAGGUGGCAAGCGUUACUCGGAAUUACUAGGCGUAAAGGGCAGGUAGGUGGUUUGAUAAGUCUGUUGUGAAAGCUCCCGGCUUAACUGGGAGAGGUCAACAGAAACUAUCAGGCUUGAGUAUGGGAGAGGGUACUGGAAUUCCCGGUGUAGCGGUGAAAUGCGCAGAGAUCAGGAGGAACACCAAUGGCGAAAGCAGGUACCUGGACCAUUACUGACACUCAACUGCGAAAGCUAGGGGAGCAAACAGGAUUAGAUACCCUAGUAGUCC
Molecule: ribosomal RNA, 804 nt
Filed under: uncultured bacterium
Lineage: Bacteria
Description: bacterial SSU rRNA
Rfam family: Bacterial small subunit ribosomal RNA
Source: RNAcentral